UGCGUAGGCGGAAUAUUAAGUCAGUGGUGAAAUCCUGCGGCUCAACCGUAGAACUGCCAUUGAUACUGAUAUUCUUGAAUGUAGUUGAGGUAGGCGGAAUGUGUAAUGUAGCGGUGAAAUGCUUAGAUAUUACACAGAACACCGAUUGCGAAGGCAGCUUACUAAACUAUGAUUGACGCUGAGGCACGAAAGCGUGGGGAGCGAACAGGAUUGGAUACCCUGGUAGUC
RNAcentral lists this ribosomal RNA (228 nucleotides) under uncultured bacterium. Its description in RNAcentral is "partial 16S ribosomal RNA". It matches the Rfam family "Bacterial small subunit ribosomal RNA", at positions 568 to 795 of the family's 1533-position model. The record is from RNAcentral.